UACAGAGGUGUCAAACGUUGUCCGGAAUUACUGGGCGUAAAGGGCGCGUAGGCGGCCUUAUAAGUCAGAUGUGAAAGCUCUGGGCUCAACCCAGGAAUUGCAUCUGAUACUGUAGGGCUUGAGUUCGGUAGAGGAGGGCGGAAUUCCAGGUGUAGCGGUGAAAUGCGUAGAUAUCUGGAGGAACACCCGUGGCGAAGGCGGCAUCCUGGACCGGCAUUGACGCUGAGGAGCGAAAGCCAGGGGAGCAAACGGG
Molecule: ribosomal RNA, 253 nt
Filed under: uncultured bacterium
Lineage: Bacteria
Description: partial 16S ribosomal RNA
Rfam family: Bacterial small subunit ribosomal RNA
Source: RNAcentral